CAGCAGCCGCGGUAAUACCGGCGGCCCGAGUGGCGGCCACUAUUAUUGGGCCUAAAGCGUCCGUAGCCGGGCUGGUAAGUCCUCCGGGAAAUCUGGUCGCUUAACGAUCAGACUUCCGGAGGAUACUGCUGGCCUAGGGACCGGGAGAGGCCGAGGGUAUUCCCGGGGUAGGGGUGAAAUCCUGUAAUCCCGGGAGGACCACCUGUGGCGAAGGCGCUCGGCUGGAACGGGUCCGACGGUGAGGGACGAAGGCCAGGGGAGCGAACCGGAUUAGAUACCCGGGUAGUCCUGGCGGUAAACGAUGCGGACUAGGUGUCGGGCAAGCUAAGGGCUUGUCCGGUGCCGGAGGGAAGCCGUUAAGUCCGCCGCCUGGGGAGUACGGCCGCAAGGCUGAAACUUAAAGGAAUUGGCGGG
RNAcentral lists this ribosomal RNA (414 nucleotides) under uncultured microorganism. Its description in RNAcentral is "bacterial SSU rRNA". It matches the Rfam family "Archaeal small subunit ribosomal RNA", at positions 459 to 872 of the family's 1478-position model. The record is from RNAcentral.